GGUCUCUUCAGUGCUCUCCAGUUGUUUGUGUCUCAGUUUUGUAUAAAUAUCGUGGAAUUUUCUCCUUUAAAAAAUACACUUUGAAAAAAGAAUCCCAUUAUCUGCUACUUGGCUGCAGGUAAUUAUCGGCUAGCUUUGCAGAAGUCAUCUGGAAGGAACCUCCCCUCCCAGAGUGGCACUGAUACAAAUGGCACAUUCUGUGGCACAACACAUGUCUGCUUAAUGUCUGGGAGCUGUAACUCAUCGACUGGGAUAACAGAGGACCUCACACAGAACUGAUGGAGUAUUAUUUGUCUUUCAUUUACCCAUUGAGACGGAGGCCUCAUUUACAAGGGCGUCCUGGAAAGUUGGGUUUAUUUUAUAUUCUACCUUUUAAGACAAAGAGUGGAAAUGUACAGAACCAGGGAGUUCCACUCAUCUACUGAAAAGAUUUCCGGGGACUGCUCACAUCUGCAGUAGUAUCUACACAGAAACAAACUUUAAACAUCAGGCUCCUGUUUCAUUGUUGCUGUAAAUUCUAGCAUUUAAAUCGUGGCCUACAAAAUCCGUGUAAUUGGGGCUCCACAGACAUACUAGCUAUAAUUGAGAACUUAAGGGAGAGCCAGAUCUAGUAAGCCUGAGAUCUGGUGUGAUGUAAAAGCCAGAGCAAGCUCAAUGUAAGUGGAGCACUCGAUAACUUUGAAAGGGCUGAAAAGAUAGACAUCCCUGUUAAGGCCAAAGAUCAGCUGUUUUAUCCAAUGGACCUGAGCAAUGGAAAAGAUGGCCGGUGCUGUCAGUCACUCCCCCUAAACAAACACAAAUUCAUCACCUUCUUGUAAAAAAAGAUAUAGAAAUAAAGGAAGGCUUGUCAAGCAGCUCAGUCCAGCUCAUGGAAUUCGAAGCUGCUUUUAACAUGUAAACCCCAUCUUAGUGGGAUUAUUUCAGCUUGCCAAAGACCAAUAAAAAGCAGACUGAGUCAGUGCCAGCCCCCCAUCGUCUGUGUUUCAGGAGGUCUGUUAUUAAUUAAGGGACUGAAGAGUCAAUGGUUUGGAUGUGAAAGCCUCCUUUGUUUAGCCAAAGUACCUUUCAUAACAGAGUUAAAACAUGACACGUUAACUGCUGCUGUAUUAUUAUGAGAGAACCGAAAGUGACAGCUAAUGGAGGCUCCUUUCUUUUGAAGAUAACCCCCCCCCCCCAACCAAACAUUUUAAAUUAAGGUCAGCUCGUUUGAUACGGUUAAGGUAUAGUUUUGUGUGAUCCCUUUUAGAUAUUGUGGGAGGGCAGCGGUGUGAUACAGCUCUUAAUGGCUAUACAAAUAGCAGGCAGAGAUGUAAGGAAUUGCAGUUUAAGCACUGAUGUGCGUGUUUAUUUACAGAAACAAAAA
This is a long non-coding RNA of Acipenser ruthenus (sterlet), 1363 nucleotides long. RefSeq lists it as uncharacterized. The record is from RefSeq and is a predicted model, not a curated record. Lineage: Eukaryota; Metazoa; Chordata; Actinopteri; Acipenseriformes; Acipenseridae. The transcript is spliced from 4 exons.